Setomelanomma holmii is the source of this 144-nucleotide non-coding RNA. The record is from the annotation of a GenBank genome assembly. NCBI's taxonomy places the organism in Eukaryota, Fungi, Ascomycota, Dothideomycetes, Pleosporales, Phaeosphaeriaceae.
GGGCACAUGGUGUAAUUGGUAACACGUCCACUCAAUGAUGCAAUGACCGCAGCCUCGCUCGGUGACUCGGCACGAAGAAUGAUCCGGGCGGGGUGCGGCCGAUGGAGGGUGUUGAAGUUGCGGGUUCGAAUCUCGCUGUGUCCA